GCUUUCCUGUGGCUCAACUGGUAGUGCAUUGCACUAACAAUGCGCAGGUUGUGAAUUCAAAUCCCAAGGAAAGCA
Molecule: non-coding RNA, 75 nt
Organism: Danionella cerebrum
Lineage: Eukaryota; Metazoa; Chordata; Actinopteri; Cypriniformes; Danionidae
Source: the annotation of a GenBank genome assembly